Molecule: ribosomal RNA, 498 nt
Filed under: uncultured bacterium
Lineage: Bacteria
Description: bacterial SSU rRNA
Rfam family: Bacterial small subunit ribosomal RNA
Source: RNAcentral
AUUGAACGCUGGCGGCAUGCCUUACACAUGCAAGUCGAACGGCAGCAUAGGAGCUUGCUCCUGAUGGCGAGUGGCGAACGGGUGAGUAAUAUAUCGGAACGUGCCCUAGAGUGGGGGAUAACUAGUCGAAAGACUAGCUAAUACCGCAUACGAUCUACGGAUGAAAGUGGGGGAUCGCAAGACCUCAUGCUCCUGGAGCGGCCGAUAUCUGAUUAGCUAGUUGGUGGGGUAAAAGCCUACCAAGGCAACGAUCAGUAGCUGGUCCGAGAGGACGACCAGCCACACUGGGACUGAGACACGGCCCAGACUCCUACGGGAGGCAGCAGUGGGGAAUUUUGGACAAUGGGGGCAACCCUGAUCCAGCAAUGCCGCGUGAGUGAAGAAGGCCUUCGGGUUGUAAAGCUCUUUUGUCAGGGAAGAAACGGUAGUAGCUAAUAUCUACUACUAAUGACGGUACCUGAAGAAUAAGCACCGGCUAACUACGUGCCAGCCGCCGCA